This 2884-nucleotide long non-coding RNA is filed under the name Amborella trichopoda. Its description in RNAcentral is "long non-coding RNA (ATRI_LNC004721)". The record is from RNAcentral. Lineage: Eukaryota; Viridiplantae; Streptophyta; Magnoliopsida; Amborellales; Amborellaceae.
UUGGCCUUCCUUCGCUAUAGAGGGAGGAAAAUUGCCUGAAUAUUUCGUCAGGAGUUUCUUGAGGGUUAUCCUUCAUGAAUCUUCGGUGCCACAUCAAGGGUUCUUCUAAUAAGUUAUGAGAGAACAUCAUCUUAAGUUGGUUGGGUCGGUCUCGCAGUGUGUGGACCAUCAAUAAGUAGGACUUGAUAUGUGCCUCAGGAUCCUCUUUACCUGAAAAUCUGUUUCUGAACUAUGGAAUCAGAAUCCCAACUGGUAGAUCAUCUAGGUUUCCUAGAAUUUCUUGUACAUAAGCUUUAGGAAAUGAGAAAUCUCGUAUUCUCAUUUUCUCUAAAGAUUCUUGGAGGUGUUUCAUACUAGUGAAUUGAGUCAUCGUUGUAGCUUUAAGCUGGCUCGAUUGUAUGGUUUGUUGAACAUGAUUUUGUGGUAUGUGACUCAUAUGAACCAACUGUUGGGCCCAUGUAGCAGGUUGCCCCAAGGACUUAGCUUGAGGAAUGUGUUGAACUUGAUGUGCCAGUUGUCAGCUUGUAGGCUGACCCGAGUUGAAUUGGGUCAGAGCAUAGCCAUUACUCGAAUGUUGCACAACUUGCCCAUGCAAGGAGGCCUGCAGGAUAGGAUCACCGCUUAACUUGGGUGAAUGACUCAAGUUGCUAUGACGACUAGACCUCUGACCUUGGGCAACUCGAUCUACUUGACCUUGACCUUGAUUGAAUGAUUUAUUCCUACGGUUAGGGUAUUCUCUUGCCCCAACACUAGACUGAAAGAGUGAAGGGAUGCCGUAACUACUGCCAGAGGGAGUCUGCCUUUUAGGUAGUCUUGGACUCAAGUGAUGAUUAGAACUAGACCCGUAGCCCAUAGUGGGUUGGAUUGGCAGACUAUCAGCCCUAGGAUUAUCCUGGUUUGAGCCAAAUGUUGGACUUCGCCUACGACUUAAAUUUUUUAUCAAACUUUCUUGGAUUGAGUGCGUUGGAUGGUGUAUCCUUUAUUGAGCAGGUCUUGAAAGUAAGCAUUCACUUUAGGAUUAUCUUUAUAUCGAGUUAGAUCAAAACCUUGAUCUUUACUGGUGAUGGGUUGCUCGGGUAGACUUUCCCUAGUUGUAUAUGAACCCACUCGCCCACUAACUGGCUGAUUGCCAAGACUAGAAUGUUAGGCUACUAUAUGACCAUCGAGGUCCAUACAACUGAGAUCGGCUGACUCAGAGAUUUAGGCUGGGGCCUUAUUCCUUUGUGCUGACUGGAUUUGAGGUUAACCCCUAUGUCUUGGAGGAAUGCCCCACACCCUUGACUAUUCAGGGUAUUACGAACCUUAUUAACCUGUUGGCUCGUGACUUCUAAAGGGUGACCUUGAAGACGUCUUAGACAACUGCUAGGUUUGGUUUUAGACAGGUCGAGAGUCGGCUCACUGACACGAGUGCUAUGGGUGAUCUAUGAGGGAGCACUGUGACAGUGCCUCUCGGACAGACUAGGUUCUUUGGAUCUAGACUGAGCAGGGGCCAUAGGGUUGGACUUUGCUCUGCCAUGGGUCAUAAUUCAUAGACUUGGUGAGAUCUAGACUCAACGCCUUAUGGUAGACCGACUAUGUCUCUAGGGGAAAAACCCUAACUAAGAUCUAGGCUAGUACUAGAUUGGAUGAAAUCUGCUAGACCCAAUGGGUUUUGGUUUAAACUCUGAACUAGGGUAAGCCUAGUUUAGCUCUAGAGGUAACUCUAAGCUUAGACCUAUGUUAGAACCUAGACCUAGACUAGAUGGGUACGAGUGGGUCUGGGUUCAGACCUGGGUAUGAGCUUGGUUCGGACCUAGACUGAGCUGGGUGCAAAUCAGGGCUUAGACCAAGAGGGUUGUGAUAAUCAGACCAGGUGUGGACUCGGACUGCAUCAAAGUUGGUUUAGGCACGAGCCCUUGGCUUCGACCAAAAGGGGGCCUAGGUUCAGACCUGGGUAUGAUCCUGGUUCAGACCUAGGUUAAGCUGGGUAUAAGCCUGAACUUGGACUCAGAGAGUUUUGAUGAUCAGACUAGGUGUGGACCUGAACUGGAACAAGGAUGAACUAGGAAUGAGCCCUCGACUUGGACUAAGAGGGAGCUUAGGUUCAGACCAGGGUGUGAACCUGGUUAGGACCUGGGUUAGGCUGGGUACAAGCUUGGACAUGGACUUAGAGAAUUUUGAUGAUCAGACCCGGUAUGGACCUGGAUUAGAUCAAAGAUUAGCUAGGAACGAGCCUUCGGCUAGGACCCAAAGGGGGCCAAAGUUAGGACCAAGGCGAAACCUGGUUCGUACCUAGGCUAAGCUGGGUGCAAGCCUGGACUUGGACCCAGAAAGUUCAACUCGGACUAAAAGCUGGUCCGGACUGGGAUCUAAGAUUUACCAAUAAAAAUAAGCAAGCAAGCACACAAAAACUUUUGACCUAGUAUUACAGGUAGGCUUGUCUUGAGAGUGGGUUCCUAACUAUUGAAAUGUAGCUACGCUGAAAUAAGUCCCCACAUAGGUCUUGGCCUCCUGUUAUAGGAUGUUCACCAGGUCCUACUAUACACGGAGUUGCUUUGAGGCAAAGGAUUACGGAGGGGCACUCACAGUUAAAGUUACGCGAAUCCUAACUGCCUCGACUCUCAAAGCUAGGUUCCUCUCACGCCAUUAAUGCGAAUCUUGGGGGUUUUUGAAAUAUUUUUUUGUUGGUUUCCUGGGCACUCCCAGUCCGGUGUGUGCUGGAUUGUGUAAAGAAGCACGCAAUUAGAAUAAAGUCAAGUACACAAUGCACAAAAACAAGAAAGGAAAUAAGUGAGCGCUCAGCACUAAUCGUGCUUAGUGAUACGCCCUUCGAGGCGAAACUAGCUCAAAGCACAGUAUAGAUGGAGGUGUAAGUAACCCUUAAGAAGGUAAAGUCAGAGCAAUG